This 414-nucleotide ribosomal RNA is filed under the name uncultured bacterium. RNAcentral describes it as "bacterial SSU rRNA". It matches the Rfam family "Bacterial small subunit ribosomal RNA", at positions 146 to 594 of the family's 1533-position model. The record is from RNAcentral.
ACGCAGGGAAACUUGCGCUAAUACCGUAUGUGCUCUUGCGAGGAAAGAUUUAUCGCCUUUAGACGGGCCCGCGUCGGAUUAGCUAGUUGGUGGGGUAACGGCCUACCAAGGCAACGAUCCGUAGCUGAUCUGAGAGGAUGAUCAGCCACACUGGAACUGAGACACGGUCCAGACUCCUACGGGAGGCAGCAGUGGGGAAUCUUGGACAAUGGGCGCAAGCCUGAUCCAGCCAUGCCGCGUGAGUGAAGAAGGCCUUCGGGUUGUAAAGCUCUUUUGUCAGGGACGAUAAUGACGGUACCUGAAGAAUAAGCCCCGGCAAACUUCGUGCCAGCAGCCGCGGUAAUACGAAGGGGGCUAGCGUUGUUCGGAUUUACUGGGGCGUAAAGCGCACGUAGGCGGAAGUUAAGUGAGAGG